AUGCUAAUAGAGCUAUUUCAAGGUGUGGCAGUUGAUGGAUCAUCAGCUUAUGUGCCCAUAGAUGAAGAUGAAGAAGAAGAUGUUGUUGCCGAUGAUGGAAAUGAGGAGAGUCCAAUGAGCACCACCAGCAGGAAGAGGGGAAGCAGCUGCGGUGAACAGUCAGCUUCAAGCCCAGGCAAGAAACACAAGAGCCCAAUGGUGAAACUAAUGACAGGGCUCAUCAAUAUAACUAGUGAGAACACUUCUGACAUGAUCACUGAAUAUGCAAACAAAAGACAGGAAGCAAAGGACAAGGCAAAAGAGAAGAAAGCAAACAACACUAAGGAAUCCAUUACUCAUUGUCAACUGUUGGCAGUUCAAUGUGGUGCAGAAGAAACAAGUGUUGAGUACUUCAUGGCAACUCAACUGUUUGCAGAUGAGGCAAAUAGAGUCAUAUUUCAGAACAUUUCAAGUGAUCAGGCUAGACUGACUUGGUUGAAGAGGUGGUGCAUGAUGAAGAAGCUGUCCUAG
Molecule: ribosomal RNA, 510 nt
Filed under: Triticum aestivum (bread wheat)
Lineage: Eukaryota; Viridiplantae; Streptophyta; Magnoliopsida; Poales; Poaceae
Description: partial small subunit ribosomal RNA
Source: RNAcentral